RNAcentral lists this ribosomal RNA (253 nucleotides) under uncultured bacterium. Its description in RNAcentral is "partial 16S ribosomal RNA". It matches the Rfam family "Bacterial small subunit ribosomal RNA", at positions 524 to 776 of the family's 1533-position model. The record is from RNAcentral.
UACGGAGGGUGCAAGCGUUAAUCGGAAUUACUGGGCGUAAAGGGUGCGUAGGUGGUUUGCUAAGUUAUCUGUAAAAUCCCUGGGCUUAACCUGGGCAGGUCAGAUAAGACUGGUAGACUCGAGUAUGGGAGAGGGCAGUGGAAUUUCCGGUGUAGCGGUGAAAUGCGUAGAGAUCGGAAGGAACACCAGUGGCGAAGGCGGCUGCCUGGCCUAAUACUGACACUGAGGCACGAAAGCGUGGGGAGCAAACAGG